GGUGCGGCCUGCGAGGGGACGGGGGGUUUGGUUAGAGGGCACCUCAGUCGGCGCGUACAUUCGCCGGCCUCUUCUUAGGGUUGGAGGGUUCGCUGAGACGGGGUAGCACCAGCAGUCGUCGUCGUCGUCGAUCUCGGCACCGCUACCGCCGCCGCCGCCACCCCUCCUCCGACGACGACGUCAGCCUCUGCGGCGCCGCGGUCGUCGUCGUCCGCCGCGGCAGCGGCACCUCGCGCCCCAUGGAGUUGUGCACCGACAGCGUCGCGUGCGGGCAGAAGCCGGAGGCGGAGACCCACGAGUACCCGUAGCGGCAGCCGCGGCGGUAGCACGAGCACGAGGACGACGAGAAGGAGACGGAGAGCGCGGCGGCGGCCCCGGCGGCGCGCCGGUUAGAGAUGGUGGGGCGGCUGCGGUUCGGGGAGUUCGUCGUCGUCGUGGACGUCGUGGUCGUGCGCGGGUGCGGCCGGUUCCUGUAGGUCCUCUAGCACGCGGCCGUCGUCGUGGUCGUCGGCCGCGGCUGGGGCGACGGCGUCGGGCGGCGCCGCGUCUACCGGUUCCGCCUCGGCGGCGGCGGCGUCUGCGUCUGCGACGUCGUCGUCUCCCGCGUCGAGGGCCGCUACGGGCGCCCCAGGUUCGCGAGGUGCCGCCGGUCGCCGGACAGCCGGUGGUGCUCGCCGCCCUCGCUCGCCCUGGACCGGUGCGGCUCCUCGCGGCCCUCGCCGCGCUACCCCGGCCUCCACAGCGUGGAGCCCACCCCGGUGACCAAGUGCGAGGCCCUCGACCUCCUUCGGUGGCUGCCCGAGCGGCUCCUCUUACACUAGCCGCUCCCCCCGAUGCCCUAACAGAUGUCUCCGUGCGACGUUCUAAGGUGGUAGUAACGGCAGUUCUUAGACGAGUUAUUAUCCCCGGUCCGACUUUUCCUCAAGUUCCACCUCCAGCUUUGCUAGCCGGCACAGGCCGUGUUCUUGGAGCAGUCCGACGAGCCGAUGACGCACCUCCCACGGAUGUCCUACGAACAGAUGCUCAUACAGCUGUUGCCGUUAGAGCUAGUCACCGAAGUACCGCUCUAACCCCUUCUCUCGGGUAACUGGACCCUAUACUCCUACUUGUAUUAAUAGCCUUGGCGAUUUCCCGACCGGAUAGAAGUGCUUCCCGACCUUGGCUUCCAACAGGUGGCGCUGCAGUUUAGAUCGUUAUAAGAGUAGCUGUUCGUCACCUUACGAUUUCAUAGCCUAAAACCCGAACGUUUUAACGACACGAGCCUCCUUUCGAUACAAUGGUGGGCACAAUACCCUUGGAAACCGAUACACCGCGGACUUAUGCGGUCGUGGCCUUACAAUUGACUCUCCUCGCUACACAUAUCGAAACCGCAAGAAAACUACCUCUAGUAUUGACCAUCUAGAGGACAUCUAAUAUGAUCCAGUCGACCUCUCCACUUGAACUAGCUCACCGACUUCUUGUACCACCGACUCUCCUUUCGUCUCCUUCACCAGCUGGGGUUCGAGGGGCUCUCCGGAAGGGGCUUUCGGGACUUCGCCCGAGAAGACCAGCGGGAAGCGACGCAGCUGGGGCUACCGGUAUUCGCCGGAUUUUACCCCGUACACUAGGUGUACGACCUCUACCUCCUGGAUUUGGGGGCGCUGCUGUCCUUCGGGGCUUCCCUACGCCGUUGACUGUCUAGUUCGAGCUACCUCCUACCCUCGGACUCGUUCGCGCUCUUGGUUGCCAUGUCUACUACUACCCUUCCUGUCUUCUUGCUGCUACGGCUCGGCGGCCCUGUACUAGACUCAAACAGGCCUACCUGACGGAGAACGAUCUAUACGACUACCACAAGAGGAGACUGAACACUGAACACUGAUUGUGGGGGUCGACUGCGAGUACCGUCAGAAUUACUAUUGGGUGAUCGAUUAACGUUCACAACGAAACAAAAACACGGGAGACGAUGACGACUAGAUCGUCGUGAACCAGAAUACUAAGGACCGUGACCUUCUACUCCGUCACUAGUACGGAGGAACAAGAACGACGACCGACGUGCACUCCAGUGUACGGUAAACGUGGUACGUGUGAGAGACUACUUCUAUCUACGACUGUUUCGGUAACAACAAAUAGUAGUAGCGGUAACCAAACCGACUUACGAGAAAAACCGGCAGGUGACAUGGCGUAGACCGCUGAGUCAUUUUUGUCGUAGACCCGGUCAGGAACAGCCGAAGCAGGACAGGACUACUGGACUAGCACAUGGCGCAAGUAGAGAUGAUCGUCCUCAUGGAAAAAAGGUAGGUCAAAUACCCUAUCCUCAAGAUAAAAGGACGGCCAGUUG
Molecule: ribosomal RNA, 2317 nt
Filed under: Triticum aestivum (bread wheat)
Lineage: Eukaryota; Viridiplantae; Streptophyta; Magnoliopsida; Poales; Poaceae
Description: partial small subunit ribosomal RNA
Source: RNAcentral